GGGCAGAUAGCUCAGUUGGUAGAGCGUUCCUCCGGGAUAAGGUCUCGAGUUUGACCCUCAGUCGGCCCA
RNAcentral lists this transfer RNA (69 nucleotides) under Olpidium bornovanus. RNAcentral's name for it is "tRNA-OTHER". Lineage: Eukaryota; Fungi; Olpidiomycota; Olpidiomycetes; Olpidiales; Olpidiaceae. The record is from RNAcentral.